Molecule: long non-coding RNA, 764 nt
Organism: Grus americana (Whooping crane)
Lineage: Eukaryota; Metazoa; Chordata; Aves; Gruiformes; Gruidae
Exons: 5
Source: RefSeq, a predicted model, not a curated record
CCCAGCCCCUCUGUGCCCGACGUGGGGCACGGCUGCCUGGCCAACGCUCCUCGCACGGCUCAGCAAGGACAAGCAGCCUUUGCUCUUCCAUGAAAGACCUUCUGUUAUCCCGGUCGGAUGCAAGGGGAUGUUAUUUGGAUGCUUUUCUGUGCAAGGAGGCUCCAGAAGGGCUGGUAAAGCACCGGACUUGACCUUCUGCUCAUCUGCUUUGCACGACAGUUUCAGAAAACUGAAGAGAUCCUGCUUUGUGUCCACCCAAUACAGCGUUGAGGAUACAACGCUGAUUCAUGACAUUUCAACUCGCUGCAGGCAGCUGAAUAGAGGAAUACAGCAAAAAAACCCAACCCAGUCGAAGCACCAGAAUUUUGCUAGCAAGUGAAUGGCAGUCAUCCAGUGUAGUACAGUAUGGAUUCUCAGAGACCUUAAGGAUACUACCUCUGUUCCUAAACACUCAUAUGAUGCCAGUAACCAGAAUAUGUACCAAGCUUUUGGAUCUUCAAGCAUAUUGGAAUGCCAGUGAGGACACACAGAGAAGAUUCAGGAUCUUUAUGAAGUGCAGUCCUCGCACAUACUGUUAUAGCCAGAGUCAAGGAUCUCGGUUCCACAGGAGUUGAUGGCCCAUUCCCAGCUCCGAGCCAGGCAUGCUGCCUGCGAUGUCAGCUGUCACACCAGCACUUGGCAACAUUUUGAUGGUGACAAUUGUUCCGCUAAGAUGGGGUCUGACAUUUAUCCGUCGAGGAGGCUUCAUGGGAAAGCUGUAAAGC